This 373-nucleotide ribosomal RNA is filed under the name uncultured organism. Its description in RNAcentral is "bacterial SSU rRNA". It matches the Rfam family "Bacterial small subunit ribosomal RNA", at positions 526 to 896 of the family's 1533-position model. The record is from RNAcentral.
CGGGGGGAGCAAGCGUUGUUCGGAUUUACUGGGCGUAAAGGGCGCGUAGGCGGCGCAACAAGUCACUUGUGAAAUCUCCGGGCUUAACUCGGAGCGGCCAAGUGAUACUGUCGUGCUAGAGUGCGGAAGGGGCAACUGGAAUUCUCGGUGUAGCGGUGAAAUGCGUAGAUAUCGAGAGGAACACCUGCGACGAAGGCGGGUUGCUGGGCCGACACUGACGCUGAGGCGCGAAAGCCAGGGGAGCGAACGGGAUUAGAUACCCCGGUAGUCCUGGCCUUAAACGAUGGAUGCUUGGUGUCCGGGGUUACAUAGUCCCCGGGUGCCGUCGCUAACGCCUUAAGCAUCCCGCCUGGGGAGUACGCACGCAAGUGUG